GUGGGGAAUAUUGCGCAAUGGGGGAAACCCUGACGCAGCGACGCCGUGUGAGGGAAGAAGGCUUUCGGGUCGUAAACCUCUGUCAGAAAGGAAGAACCUCCCAUAUCCGAAUAGGGUGUGGGACUGACGGUACUUUCAAAGGAAGCACCGGCUAACUCCGUGCCAGCAGCCGCGGUAAUACGGAGGGUGCUAGCGUUAAUCGGAAUCACUGGGCGUACAGCGCGCGUAGGCCGCUUCUUAAGUCGGACGUGAAAGCCCUCGGCUCAACCGGGGAACUGCGUUCGAUACGGGGAGGCUUGAGUCCUGGAGAGGGUGGCGGAAUUCCGGGUGUAGGAGUGAAAUCCGUAGAUAUCCGGAGGAACACCGGUGGCGAAGGCGGCCACCUGGACAGGUAAUGACGCUGAGGCGCGAAAGCGUGGGGAGCAAACAGGAUUAGAAACCCGUGUAGUCC
Molecule: ribosomal RNA, 451 nt
Filed under: uncultured bacterium
Lineage: Bacteria
Description: partial 16S ribosomal RNA
Rfam family: Bacterial small subunit ribosomal RNA
Source: RNAcentral